This 544-nucleotide ribosomal RNA is filed under the name uncultured bacterium. RNAcentral describes it as "bacterial SSU rRNA". It matches the Rfam family "Bacterial small subunit ribosomal RNA", at positions 331 to 893 of the family's 1533-position model. The record is from RNAcentral.
CCAGACUCCUACGGGAGGCAGCAGUGGGGAAUAUUGGACAAUGGGCGCAAGCCUGAUCCAGCCAUGCCGCGUGAGUGAUGACGGCCUUAGGGUUGUAAAGCUCUUUCGCUCGGGACGAUAAUGACGGUACCGAGAUAAGAAGCCCCGGCUAACUUCGUGCCAGCAGCCGCGGUAAUACGAAGGGGGCUAGCGUUGUUCGGAAUUACUGGGCGUAAAGCGCGUGUAGGCGGGUCUUUAAGUCAGGGGUGAAAUGCCAGGGCUCAACCUUGGAACUGCCCUUGAUACUGGAGAUCUUGAGUCCGAGAGAGGUGAGUGGAAUUGCGAGUGUAGAGGUGAAAUUCGUAGAUAUUCGCAAGAACACCAGUGGCGAAGGCGGCUCACUGGCUCGGAACUGACGCUGAGACGCGAAAGCGUGGGGAGCAAACAGGAUUAGAUACCCUGGUAGUCCACGCUGUAAACGAUGGAUGCUAGCCGUUGGGGAGCUUGCUCUUCAGUGGCGCAGCUAACGCUUUAAGCAUCCCGCCUGGGGAGUACGGUCGCAAGA